CUCAAAAAAAGACUAUAGUUUUGCACUAUUUAUAACCGUCCGUCUUAUUUGAAAUUUUUUAUGAUUAAUAUUUUUGUUAUUAUUAGAUGAUAAAACAUGAAUAAUACUUUAUUUGUGACUAAUUUAUUAUUCCAUAAAUUUUUCAAAUAAGAUAUACGGUCAAAUGUUGGAUACGGAAACCCACAAUUGCACUUAAA
Non-coding RNA from Oryza nivara, 197 nucleotides. Lineage: Eukaryota; Viridiplantae; Streptophyta; Magnoliopsida; Poales; Poaceae. The record is from Rfam.